Molecule: long non-coding RNA, 342 nt
Filed under: Triticum aestivum (bread wheat)
Lineage: Eukaryota; Viridiplantae; Streptophyta; Magnoliopsida; Poales; Poaceae
Description: long non-coding RNA (TAES_LNC000740)
Source: RNAcentral
GUUGUGGAGAUCAAAACACACACAUCUCAUCUUCAGAAUACACACAAAUCUCAUCUUCAGUUUAUGGUUAGCUAACCAAAGAAGGAACCCCUCCAGCAGCUUCUAGCAUGGUCGUCAACAACAACCAGGAUAACAUAAACAACAGGUUAGUACAUAUGCAUUGACAAUAUGAUUUAGCUCCAUAUUUUCUUUGCUGAUCCACAUCUCACUGAUAGAACAUACAAAUAUUUUCAGCAUUUCUUGCUGAUUUACACACAUUUCAAUGGAUCCAAGCUAUCACAGGAGGUCACAGAUGGAGGAUGAAUUCAUGUUAUUUGUCUUCCCUACCAUGGAAGAAGGAAG